RNAcentral lists this ribosomal RNA (492 nucleotides) under uncultured bacterium. RNAcentral describes it as "partial 16S ribosomal RNA". It matches the Rfam family "Bacterial small subunit ribosomal RNA", at positions 29 to 507 of the family's 1533-position model. The record is from RNAcentral.
AGUGAACGCUGGCGGUAGGCCUAACACAUGCAAGUCGAACGGCAGCACAGUAAGAGCUUGCUCUUACGGGUGGCGAGUGGCGGACGGGUGAGAAAUACAUCGGAAUCUACUUUUUCGUGGGGGAUAACGUAGGGAAACUUACGCUAAUACCGCAUACGACCUACGGGUGAAAGCAGGGGAUCUUCGGACCUUGCGCGAUUGAAUGAGCCGAUGUCGGAUUAGCUAGUUGGCGGGGUAAAGGCCCACCAAGGCGACGAUCCGUAGCUGGUCUGAGAGGAUGAUCAGCCACACUGGAACUGAGACACGGUCCAGACUCCUACGGGAGGCAGCAGUGGGGAAUAUUGGACAAUGGGCGCAAGCCUGAUCCAGCCAUACCGCGUGGGAGAAGAAGGCCUUCGGGUUGUAAAGCCCUUUUGUUGGGAAAGAAAAGCAGCAGGUUAAUACCCCGCUGUUCUGACGGUACCCAAAGAAUAAGCACCGGCUAACUUCGUG